GGAAGCUCUUAUCAAUGCUGUCAAAGACUAUUUGUUUCUUUACAAUAAGCGGCACCCCGACCACAAGGAUCGGGGCAAAAAAUUGCAGGCCUAAAACGAGAUCGGCGACAUUUUCGGCAUGGCAGGUGUUCGUCGAGUACCGCAACCAAGGUGACAACUUGUAGAAGUGGAAGUGACAUUCUUCAAUUUUUUGGGAAAUACCUCAUACUUCGAGCAGGUGGAUGGCAAAGUAUGCCUGUUGCAUUCUUAGGGAAAUAUAUAUUAAAACUGACACUGACCA
Long non-coding RNA from Ixodes scapularis (black-legged tick), 280 nucleotides. RefSeq lists it as uncharacterized. Lineage: Eukaryota; Metazoa; Arthropoda; Arachnida; Ixodida; Ixodidae. The record is from RefSeq and is a predicted model, not a curated record. The transcript is spliced from 2 exons.